UCCUUGAUAGCUCAGUUGGUAAAGAAUCCGCCUGCAAUGCGGGAGACCUGGGUUCAGUCCCCGGGUUGGGAA
This is a non-coding RNA of Bos taurus (domestic cattle), 72 nucleotides long. Lineage: Eukaryota; Metazoa; Chordata; Mammalia; Artiodactyla; Bovidae. The record is from Rfam.